This 422-nucleotide ribosomal RNA is filed under the name uncultured bacterium. Its description in RNAcentral is "bacterial SSU rRNA". It matches the Rfam family "Bacterial small subunit ribosomal RNA", at positions 355 to 774 of the family's 1533-position model. The record is from RNAcentral.
UGAGGAAUAUUGGGCAAUGCCCGCAAGGGUGACCCAGCAACGCCGCGUGGAGGAUGAAUGUCGUAAGAUUGUAAACUCCUGUUAGAGGGGAAGAAUAGUACCGGUUGGACCGGUAUAUGACUGUACCCUCAGAGAAAGCCCCGGCUAACUACGUGCCAGCAGCCGCGGUAAUACGUAGGGGGCAAGCGUUGUCCGGAUUUACUGGGUGUAAAGGGCGCGCAGGCGGUUUUGUAAGACAGAUGUGAAAUCCCCGGGCUUAACCUGGGAACUGCGUUUGUGACUGCAGGGCUGGAGUACGGCAGAGGGGGGUGGAAUUCCACGUGUAGCAGUGAAAUGCGUAGAGAUGUGGAGGAACACCGAUGGCGAAGGCAGCCCCCUGGGCCUGUACUGACGCUCAUGCACGAAAGCGUGGGGAGCAAACA